Molecule: ribosomal RNA, 255 nt
Filed under: uncultured bacterium
Lineage: Bacteria
Description: partial 16S ribosomal RNA
Rfam family: Bacterial small subunit ribosomal RNA
Source: RNAcentral
CAAACCAAGGCUGGCGACCGGCGCACGGGUGAGUAACACGUAUCCAACCUGCCUCAUACUCGGGGAUAGCCUUUCGAAAGAAAGAUUAAUAUCCGAUAGCAUAUAUUUCCCGCAUGGGUUUUAUAUUAAAGAAAUUCGGUAUGAGAUGGGGAUGCGUUCCAUUAGUUUGUUGGGGGGGUAACGGCCCACCAAGACUACGAUGGAUAGGGGUUCUGAGAGGAAGGUCCCCCACAUUGGAACUGAGACACGGUCCAA